This 660-nucleotide ribosomal RNA is filed under the name uncultured bacterium. RNAcentral's name for it is "bacterial SSU rRNA". It matches the Rfam family "Bacterial small subunit ribosomal RNA", at positions 35 to 658 of the family's 1533-position model. The record is from RNAcentral.
AAUGGCGGCGUGCUAUAAUGCAAGUCGAGCGAGCUUGCCUAGAUGAUUUUAGUGCUUGCACUAAAUGAAACUAGAUACAAGCUAGCGGCGGACGGGUGAGUAACACGUGGGUAACCUGCCCAAGAGACUGGGAUAACACCUGGAAACAGAUGCUAAUACCGGAUAACAACACUAGACGCAUGUCUAGAGUUUAAAAGAUGGUUCUGCUAUCACUCUUGGAUGGACCUGCGGUGCAUUAGCUAGUUGGUAAGGUAACGGCUUACCAAGGCAAUGAUGCAUAGCCGAGUUGAGAGACUGAUCGGCCACAUUGGGACUGAGACACGGCCCAAACUCCUACGGGAGGCAGCAGUAGGGAAUCUUCCACAAUGGACGCAAGUCUGAUGGAGCAACGCCGCGUGAGUGAAGAAGGGUUUCGGCUCGUAAAGCUCUGUUGGUAGUGAAGAAAGAUAGAGGUAGUAACUGGCCUUUAUUUGACGGUAAUUACCUAGAAAGUCACGGCUAACUACGUGCCAGCAGCCGCGGUAAUACGUAGGUGGCAAGCGUUGUCCGGAUUUAUUGGGCGUAAAGCGAGUGCAGGCGGUUCAAUAAGUCUGAUGUGAAAGCCUUCGGCUCAACCGGAGAAUUGCAUCAGAAACUGUUGAACUUGAGUGGUUUAAGUGC